GUCCACGCCGUAAACGAUGAGUGCUAGGUGCUGCGGGUAUUGACCCCUGCGGUGCCGUAGCUAACGCGUUAAGCACUCCGCCUGGGGAGUACGGCCGCAAGGCUAAAACUCAAAGGAAUUGACGGGGCCCGCACAAGCGGUGGAGCAUGUGGUUCAAUUCGACGCAACGCGCAGAACCUUACCUGGGUUAAAUCCACUCGAACCUUGCAGAGAUGUGGGGGUGCUCUUCGGAGAGCUAGUGAGAAGGUGCUGCAUGGCUGUCGU
RNAcentral lists this ribosomal RNA (264 nucleotides) under uncultured bacterium. RNAcentral describes it as "partial 16S ribosomal RNA". It matches the Rfam family "Bacterial small subunit ribosomal RNA", at positions 793 to 1055 of the family's 1533-position model. The record is from RNAcentral.